Molecule: ribosomal RNA, 425 nt
Filed under: uncultured bacterium
Lineage: Bacteria
Description: partial 16S ribosomal RNA
Rfam family: Bacterial small subunit ribosomal RNA
Source: RNAcentral
GUGGGGAAUAUUGGACAAUGGGCGCAAGCCUGAUCCAGCCAUGCCGCGUGAGUGAUGAAGGCCUUAGGGUUGUAAAGCUCUUUCAGUGGGGACGAUAAUGACGGUACCCACAGAAGAAGCCCCGGCUAACUUCGUGCCAGCAGCCGCGGUAAUACGAAGGGGGCUAGCGUUGUUCGGAUUUACUGGGCGUAAAGCGCACGUAGGCGGAUCGUUAAGUCGGGGGUGAAAUCCUGGAGCUCAACUCCAGACCUGCCUUCGAUACUGGCGAUCUUGAGUCCGGAAGAGGUGAGUGGAACUCCUAGUGUAGAGGUGGAAUUCGUAGAUAUUAGGAAGAACACCAGUGGCGAAGGCGGCUCACUGGUCCGGUACUGACGCUGAGGUGCGAAAGCGUGGGGAGCAAACAGGAUUAGAAACCCUUGUAGUCC